This 300-nucleotide ribosomal RNA is filed under the name Triticum aestivum (bread wheat). RNAcentral's name for it is "partial small subunit ribosomal RNA". Lineage: Eukaryota; Viridiplantae; Streptophyta; Magnoliopsida; Poales; Poaceae. The record is from RNAcentral.
AUGAGUUGGUUGCGAGAUCUGUUGUUGUUGUUGUUGUUGUUGUUGUUGCUGGUGUUGCUAUUGUGUUGUUGUUCUUGUUCUGGUUCUUGUUGUUGUUGUUGUUGUUGUUGUUGUUGUUGUUGUUGUUGUUGUUGUUGUUGUUGUUGUUGUUGUUGUUGUUGUUGUUGUUGUUGCUGUUGUGUUGUUGUUCUUAUUCUUGUUCUUGUUGUUCUUGUUGUUGAGAAAGGCUAUUUUAUUUUUUUCAUGACCUGUUUCUAUUUUGCAACAAGUCCAAUGAUACUGCAGCUCUGGUCAAGUUAA